Nothoprocta perdicaria is the source of this 626-nucleotide long non-coding RNA. RefSeq lists it as uncharacterized. Lineage: Eukaryota; Metazoa; Chordata; Aves; Tinamiformes; Tinamidae. The transcript is spliced from 3 exons. The record is from RefSeq and is a predicted model, not a curated record.
GGCCCGUGGAGUAAGGAGCGCCAAAAGGGAGGGCUCGGAGCUCCUGUCGCCGUCUGUUUCCCAAGGAGACACAGAGCUCCCUGUGGUGCUUCUCUGCCAUCUGAAGCGCAGUCAGCUCCAAGCGAAGGGAUUCACACGAAGACAGCGAGCAGCAGGCUGAAGAACCCGAGGCAAGCGAGCGAGAAGCCGCCCUGGGGCUGCUGCGACCUCCACGUGGGAGAGAAACGGAUGACAGGGAAAGAAUUCGGAGCUGUGGAGAUCCUUGGAGGCUGGCGGGGAGAGAAUUGGGAAAACAAAGGCAGGUUUGCAAACACUGUCUGUAGGAUCAUCUCUGUCCCCAGUUCCCAGCUGCACUCAUAGGAAAACGUAGGAUGCAACUAUUCCUGGACAUUCCUGGAGAGUUUCUACCUCUCUGAGCUGGACACAGAGCCCGCUCUCAGGAAGGGCUCCCGCUCUUUUCCCUGCCUCCUGGAGAGGAAAGGCCAGCGCRUAGCUGGACAGGAUCCAGCCCCAUUGGGACAGUCACCAUGGAGCCCCAGCAGCCUGUCCUGAUGAAGGGGGAAGGUGCCAGUGAUGAAGGGACCAUCCUCCAAACCUGCCAGGCCAUUCAGGGGUUCGAAGAGGUU